Molecule: long non-coding RNA, 649 nt
Organism: Mauremys reevesii (Reeves's turtle)
Lineage: Eukaryota; Metazoa; Chordata; Testudines; Geoemydidae
Exons: 4
Source: RefSeq, a predicted model, not a curated record
CCUGGACCCCACGGUGCCAGGUGCUGCACAGCCACUGAACAGAGAGAUGGUCCCUGCCUUGAGCCAUGCACAGUCUGUGUCUAGGGCAAGAGAUGACAGGUGUGGCCUCCCUCGGAGACAGCUCAGGAGGAACCUCUGCCCAUCCCUUAGGCUGCAGAGGUAGGGUAGCCACUCCCACCCCACCGGAAGCCAAGGGGCAGGACAGGAAGCAGAAAUACAAAAGGCGGGCCCUGCAGGUCAGUUGGGCUGGAGCGGCCGAGGGAGACACUUAUUCCCUGUUGCCAGAGUGGGACAUCAAGGAGGAGCUCCUGGGGCUGCCAGCUGAAGACUGGCCAGAGCUCCCAGGGCUGCUGGCCGACUGAGGUGCUGAUGUGCAGCUGGGGCUACUGCUGACCACCGAUCCCAGGAAGAUGGAGGACACCUACAGCAAGGAGGGCAAAGGGCUCGACAGCGAGGAGGCGUGGCCUCCCACAGAGACAGCCCAGGAGGGGUGGCCAUGCAGGCUCAUAAUCACCUUGACAAGCAGGUGGCUAUUGGCCAUGGAGAAGGGAACCCCACCUUGUAGUCGUCACUGGUGGAGCCCACCGCGGAGCCGAAGAUGUUGUAAUUGGCCCAGUUGCCGUCUCCCUCUGGGUAGUUGGCGUUGCUC